UCGAACGGCAGCACAGAAAAGAGCUUGCUCUUAUGGGUGGCGAGUGGCGGACGGGUGAGGAAUACAUCGGAAUCUACCUUUUCUUGGGGGAUAACGUAGGGAAACUUACCCUAAUACCGCAUACGACCUUCGGGUGAAAGCUGGGGACCUUCGGGCCUUGCACGGAUAGAUGAGCCAAUGUCUGAUUAGCUAGUUGGCGGGGUAAAGGCCCACCAAGGCGACAAUCCGUAGCUGGUCUGAGAGGAUGAUCAGCCACACUGGAACUGACACACGGCCCACACUCCUACGGGAGGCAGCAUUGGGGAAUAUUGGACAAUGGGCGCAAGCCUGAUCCAGCCAUACCGCGUGGGUGAAGAAGGCCUUCGGGUUGUAAAGCCCUUUUGUUGGGAAAGAAAACCAGUCCGCUAAUACCCGGUUGUUCUGACGGUACCCAAAGAAUAAGCACCGGCUAACUUCGUGCCAGCAGCCGCGGAAAUACCAAGGGUGCAAGCGUUACUCGGAAUUACUGGGCGUAAAGCGUGCGUAGGUGGUUGUUUAAGUCUGUUGUGAAAGCCCUGGGCUCAACCUGGGAA
This 572-nucleotide ribosomal RNA is filed under the name Stenotrophomonas sp. 6(2012). RNAcentral describes it as "bacterial SSU rRNA". It matches the Rfam family "Bacterial small subunit ribosomal RNA", at positions 62 to 620 of the family's 1533-position model. The record is from RNAcentral. Lineage: Bacteria; Pseudomonadati; Pseudomonadota; Gammaproteobacteria; Lysobacterales; Lysobacteraceae.